GAUGAAGAACGCAGCGAAAUGCGAUAAGUAGUGUGAAUUGCAGAAUUCAGUGAAUCAUCGAAUCUUUGAACGCGCAUUGCGCCCCUUGGUAUUCCAUGGGGCAUGCCUGUUCGAGCGUCAUCUACACCCUCAAGCUCUGCUUGGUGUUGGGCGUCUGUCCCGCCUUUGCGCGUGGACUCGCCCCAAAUUCAUUGGCAGCGGUCCUUGCCUCCUCUCGCGCAGCACAUUUGCGCUUCUCGAGGUGCGCGGGCCGCGUCCACGAAGCAACUAUUACCGUCUUUGACCUCGGAUCAGGUAGGGAUACCCGCUGAACUUAAGCAUAUCAAUAAGCGGAGGA
Molecule: unclassified non-coding RNA, 337 nt
Filed under: soil metagenome
Description: partial contains 5.8S ribosomal RNA, internal transcribed spacer 2, and large subunit ribosomal RNA
Rfam family: 5.8S ribosomal RNA (bases 1-120)
Source: RNAcentral